This 434-nucleotide ribosomal RNA is filed under the name uncultured Escherichia sp. RNAcentral describes it as "bacterial SSU rRNA". It matches the Rfam family "Bacterial small subunit ribosomal RNA", at positions 958 to 1393 of the family's 1533-position model. Lineage: Bacteria; Pseudomonadati; Pseudomonadota; Gammaproteobacteria; Enterobacterales; Enterobacteriaceae. The record is from RNAcentral.
AACGCGAAGAACCUUACCUGGUCUUGACAUCCACGGAAGUUUUCAGAGAUGAGAAUGUGCCUUCGGGAACCGUGAGACAGCUGCUGCAUGGCUGUCGUCAGCUCGUGUUGUGAAAUGUUGGGUUAAGUCCCGCAACGAGCGCAACCCUUAUCCUUUGUUGCCAGCGGUCCGGCCGGGAACUCAAAGGAGACUGCCAGUGAUAAACUGGAGGAAGGUGGGGAUGACGUCAAGUCAUCGUGGCCCUUACGACCAGGGCUACACACGUGCUACAAUGGCGCAUACAAAGAGAAGCGACCUCGCGAGAGCAAGCGGACCUCAUAAAGUGCGUCGUAGUCCGGAUUGGAGUCUGCAACUCGACUCCAUGAAGUCGGAAUCGCUAGUAAUCGUGGAUCAGAAUGCCACGGUGAAUACGUUCCCGGGUCUUGUACACACGC